Molecule: long non-coding RNA, 699 nt
Organism: Myotis davidii
Lineage: Eukaryota; Metazoa; Chordata; Mammalia; Chiroptera; Vespertilionidae
Exons: 3
Source: RefSeq, a predicted model, not a curated record
GCUCCUCUGGCCGGAAGGAGGCCGCUCUGGGGCCGGGAGGGGGCAGCGGGCCACAGCGAGUCUGCCGAGGGCUGAUGGGACCCACAGCCGCGCCGAGCUUUUUUUUUUUUUUACCUUCAACAACCCAGAACGCUGGCGCUAUUUUACAGAUGAGGAAAGUGAGGCCCAGAGAGUGAGGCAAUUGCCCAAGGGGACACAGGCAAUGACAGAUCUGGGGCAAAACCCAUGUGUCCUGACUCCAGGGCCUCUCCCAGCCAUUCCUGGGCCCCCCUACACCCUGCUGUGCCGGCUCCAUCACACUGGGAGAUCCAUACAUAUUUGUGGAAUGAAUAAAGGAUUGAACCAACAAGUGAAAAUGUGAGCAACACCCACGCCGCUUGGAUACUAGGUGUUGUCAACAGGAUCCCCCUCAGCAGCGGAUGCACACGCUCAGGCCUCACUUGCCUUAAAAAACAAAACCCUGUCUUUGACUCCACACGCCCUCCGGCUGCUGCCCCAGCUCCUGCCCAUUCCUGAGCGCGGCUUACACACAUCGUGUCUCCUCACCUCUCAGCGCCUCCCGGCCUCUGCAGCCUGGUUUCCAUGCCCCUCACUCCGCUGAACGUGCCCCCUACAUCCCCAGUGACCUGCAGACACUAAACCCUAAGUCACCCCCCUCCCCCGUUUUGGAGUUUUCUGGGAGAUUCCCGCGCCCCUGAU